This 254-nucleotide ribosomal RNA is filed under the name uncultured bacterium. RNAcentral describes it as "partial 16S ribosomal RNA". It matches the Rfam family "Bacterial small subunit ribosomal RNA", at positions 524 to 776 of the family's 1533-position model. The record is from RNAcentral.
CACGUAGGGCGCGAGCGUUGUCCGGAUUUAUUGGGCGUAAAGAGCUCGUAGGCGGCUCAGUAAGUCGGGUGUGAAAACUCCAGGCUCAACCUGGAGACGCCACCCGAUACUGCUGUGGCUAGAGUCCGGUAGGGGAGCAUGGAAUUCCUGGUGUAGCGGUGAAAUGCGCAGAUAUCAGGAGGAACACCAGUGGCGAAGGCGGUGCUCUGGGCCGGAACUGACGCUGAGGAGCGAAAGCGUGGGGAGCAAACGGG